UAAAACUCACCUCAGUUCGGAUCGAAGUCUGCAACCCGACUUCGUGAAGCUGGAAUCGCUAGUAAUCGCGCAUCAGCCAUGGCGCGGUGAAUACGUUCCCGGGCCUUGUACACACCGCCCGUCAAGCCAUGGAAGCUGAAGGUGCCUGAAGUCGGUGACCGAAAGGAGCUGCCUAGGGCAAAUUUGGUGACUGGGGCUAAGUCGUAACAAGGUAACCGUAA
RNAcentral lists this ribosomal RNA (221 nucleotides) under uncultured bacterium. RNAcentral describes it as "partial 16S ribosomal RNA". It matches the Rfam family "Bacterial small subunit ribosomal RNA", at positions 1277 to 1505 of the family's 1533-position model. The record is from RNAcentral.